GGCUGCGACUGUAGCAGGUUGGAAACAUCGGUUGUCGUUUGAUCACUCAAGUGAAGCAACAUCAGUCCCGGUUAGUACUUGCAAGGGUGACCAGAUGAAAUACUGGGUGUUGCGUCUG
Molecule: ribosomal RNA, 118 nt
Filed under: Echinostoma caproni
Lineage: Eukaryota; Metazoa; Platyhelminthes; Trematoda; Plagiorchiida; Echinostomatidae
Source: RNAcentral